GAUGAACGCUGGCGGCGUGCCUAAUACAUGCAAGUCGAGCGAACAGACGAGGAGCUUGCUCCUCUGACGUUAGCGGCGGACGGGUGAGUAACACGUGGAUAACCUACCUAUAAGACUGGGAUAACUUCGGGAAACCGGAGCUAAUACCGGAUAAUAUAUUGAACCGCAUGGUUCAAUAGUGAAAGACGGUUUUGCUGUCACUUAUAGAUGGAUCCGCGCCGCAUUAGCUAGUUGGUAAGGUAACGGCUUACCAAGGCAACGAUGCGUAACCGACCUGGGAGGGUGGGCGGCCCACAUUGAAACGCAGCACCGCCCACCCCCCGCCGGGGGGGAGCCGGACGGAAUCCUCCAGAAAGGGGCAAAGGCCUAACGGACAAGCGCCGGGGGAGUAAUAAAGUUUUCCGAAUCAAAAACUUGUUUUAUGGGAAAAAAAAAAUUGGAAAAGAACAUAUCCCCUUUUGGAGGUACCGUAACAAAAAACCCAGCACAAAUUCGGCA
RNAcentral lists this ribosomal RNA (498 nucleotides) under uncultured bacterium. RNAcentral describes it as "partial 16S ribosomal RNA". It matches the Rfam family "Bacterial small subunit ribosomal RNA", at positions 28 to 513 of the family's 1533-position model. The record is from RNAcentral.